CUGCAAACUUCCUGCGUGCCUGGGUCUGGGGUGACCCUGUACAUUCCUAAAGUGCUUGCGAGAACAUUAUGAAACAGCUUGAGACCUUGCCUUGCUCCAUCCAGAGCAAGGUUAUAGAAAUUUUAGAUAAUU
Molecule: small nucleolar RNA, 132 nt
Organism: Sorex araneus (European shrew)
Lineage: Eukaryota; Metazoa; Chordata; Mammalia; Eulipotyphla; Soricidae
Source: Ensembl